CGUCCCUGUGUUUGAGUCCGUCGACCUCCAGCUCGCCAGCCGCGCCCUCCCUGCUCGCCCAGCCCCUCUGCUCACUGGUUUCUCCCCACGCCAGCAGCAGCAAGCAGCCAUGGCACCUCCUUCCCCUGCUCGCCCUCCCUCUGUGCCCAGCCUCCUCUCUGUUCUUCCGUGGAGCAAUAGCCCUCCUCUAAUUCUGCAGCAGCAGCUCUCCCUUUUUUCAUUUGUUCUCCAUGAAUGAAAGCCCAAGCGCCAGCCCCCCUCCCUUUCGUCAAGUGGUGAGCUCCGAAUCUUUUUAUUCUUUCCCUAGACCUUGCGUGUUAUAUUUUGAUUUCAGUUUGUUGUCCAUGUCAUGACGCUUGUGAAACUCUAUGUGUUUGUGUGUGAGAUUGGAAGAGAGUUCUAGGGAAAUCGAUGGAGACGAAACCGUGUUUCAGUUCGACGCGGUCUAGGUGUUUGAUGGAAUGGAUGAACCGGAGAUCCUUGUUGCUCUUGCGAAAUCCGAGUCUAUUUAGUGUUGGUAAGCUAAUUCAUUAUUAGUAUUGAUUGAAUUGUUAGAUGAAUUGAAUAGAUAUGUUUGGUGAAUAUAUAUGCAUCAUGAGUUAGUAGUGAUACCUCUUCGUGGAUAGUGACAUGAUUGUAUUCAUGGUUAUGGUUAAAAUAAGUGAUGACGGUAUUGCUGUCCAAACCUGCACGUACAGUUUUGAUUGUGCAACUAAUUGAGUGAAGUAAAUCAUGUUUUCUGUGAAAGUGUUAUAUAGAAAAGUUGUAGCUAACCUCUUCAUCUUACUUGUGCUAAAAUUUCAUAACCAUAGGACUAGUAGUUUAGGAGUUAUGAUUUUUUCAAGUCCAGUUUCAGAAUCUGUCCCAAUUCUGGACAGGUUUCGAAAAUUGCAUUUUUUGGCUAAGUUAAAAUGAGAACCAGUCUUUAGUAAUUAUAGAAGAAUUUUAGUACUUUUCUUAAGCUUCCCAACAAAUUUUGGAUCACCCUUUUUGGUGAUCUAAAAGUCAUGUUAUGGCUGUUUGAAAUGUGAUGUCUGAAUCUGUUCAAAUCUGGACAGCAAUGUUUGUUUGUAUUAACUGACCUCGAUACACAUUGAAUCACCUUGAGAUGUUUAUAAAUGAAUUGUAAACAAUUGUAUUAGCUUUUUAAAAAAUCUAGGAUCACCUGAUUUGAAUAUCUGAAACUCCAGUUAUGGAAUUUUAAAGUGAGUGACCGAAUUCUGUCCAAAUCUGGACAGAAAUUGUGUUUAGUACAGUUUGACCUUUCUAAAGAUCGAAUCUUGUUGUGAUGAUAAUACCAAAGGUGUAGAAGACUUUAUAAUCUUUCCAGAAAGUCUUAGUUUACUAUUUUUGGAUGCAUAAUUUGUGAGUUAUGAAUAAAACAAUUAACCGCUGUGCUGCUGUCCCAAAAUCAGCAGGCAUUAAAAUGAUUUGCUUGGAAUUUUUUUUGUAGGUAACUAGAUUUGUUUAGUCCUUGGCUUGAUUAAUGAAGUAUGGUAGUUGUAUAUGGUUGUUCUUUUCUUUCUUAAUGCUUGCCUUAGACUUUAGCAUUUUAAGAAGGAAGUAAAUACUUUGGUUAGUGUAUUUGAGUUAGCGACUAUUUAGACCUUUAAGUUAAGAUGAGUGCAAUUUCAUUGAACCCUAUGUUAAUUGGUAGUGAAUUAUCCGUUAGUUCUAAGUAUGUUCUGAUGUUUUGUUUAGUCGAUAUACAUUAAUAGUUAAUCUAGAGGAAUGUUUUAGAAAGUUAGAUGGAUGGUUUUUAACAUACUAAGUUUUAGAUGUGUUCAAUAAUUGUGAGCUUGAAUUGUUACUUGACUCUCGAUUCUAUGUUCUAGUUAAGGAAAAUACAUAGCUUGUGUAGGGUUCAAUAUUCUUUGAUGUUUGUGUUAGAUUUGGUUAAGCCAGAGAAACGUAAUUGUGAUACGUAGUGAUAUGUCAACAUAUAGUAAUUGUUUUUAAGUAUUGCGGUACAUCAGUGUUAUAUUCUAAAUAUAUUAGGACUUGUAUGUUGCUAAUGUUACUUGGUGAUUGAUUUAGGUCCGAUUGACUAGAACGCCAUGUUUGAUGUAGAAUUAAAUAUAUCUAGUUGUUACACUUAAAAGUUGUGAUGUUUUGCUUUAAUUCUGUAUCCUCCUUAGUAUAACUUAUCUAUCUUGUGCUAUUUAUGCUCCUACUCACUCAUAUGCAUUAUGCAUAUCAUUUAGGUACGUUAAUUGAUCACGUGAUGUGAAAGGCAAGGUUUGGAUUGAUCUCAAGAUAAUGCUGAUGGACGAAGCUAAAGUGGGUGAAUCAAACAAAUGCCAGGAUGAGAGAUGCUCACCAAGUGGUCUUCAUCUAACAACACUAACUUAGUGUUAUCCCAGGCAAGCCCCGGUGCAUUUGCCACCUCCUUGCUGUUUUUAAACUUUUAUCACUUAUGAUGCAUUAGGUGGUAGGAGUUGAAUGAUUAAACCUUCGUUUGCAUAACUUCCUUGAACUAUUGAUUACCAUCCUUGAUACAUGUUUUAAAAAGCUAGAUGUGCUUAGUAUGCUCAUAGACUAAGAACAAAAUGUUUUGAUCUAUGAAUCAUGUUUUUACAAAGAAAAGAGGCUGGAGUGAUGAAGGUAUCAAAGGCCUUGAUGACUUCAUCAUUUCAGUAGGGUACCUCUUACAGGUACCAGGUUUUCAGAAAUAACUUAAUAUGAGACCAGACGUUGAGCAGGAAAGGUCGCCCGUCUGUGUCGCUUAAGGACCGUUCCGAUUGUUGGCCUGCUGAUCUAGGACCCUUUAACUGGCCACAUGCCUCAUCAUGGGUAAGCUUAGCCUCGGUUGGACCAAUACCAGAAAGGCCGGCCCGCAAUGGGAGUGGAGAGAUGGCGAGAGUAUCGUGUAUCCACCUGGCAAGAGGCUGGAUGGUGGGGUACUGAGCUCUCGGUUGGCGGGGACCCGUUCUGGUCUUGAGAAACCCGUGGGCGAGUUGACAUAUGCAAGGGUUAAGUGCUACAUAUGUCGUGUGGUUGAAGAUCCCCAGCUGGGUAUUAAUCGAUUCGGAUCGCUGAACUUCUCGGAUAUGAAGACUGGAUCUUCGACCUUCAGCGUAGAUAACAAGUGAAACUAAAGCUGCUAAAAUGAAGUUAGUGUAGGACAAGUGAAUGAUCUAGAUUAGGAAAAUCUAGAUUCAGGAAAAGUACUUAACUGGUGAAGUAAAAGCUUGGCAUAAGGAUCCACUACUAGUAAGCUUUUCUGCAAAAAUGAGUCUUUGAAAUUUGAUAAGCUUUACCUUGAUUCCUAAUAAACCAGCAUACCCUUGAGAGUCUUUUCUUUAGUCGGGUAAGUCUUGCUGAGUAAUUGCGUACUCAGGGUUUUAUUCCCUGUUGUUUUUCAGGUUAUAAGUUUGUUCUGUUGUGGAUGGUGCUAAGUGCCGGUGGGCUCGGCCUCCUUAUAUAAGUAUAUCCCAUCUUUAGCUUCUUUAUUGAGGGUUGUCACUUAAGCUAGCAUGUAUUUUAAAACUUAUAAAUGUUUUAUACAUUUUAAAGUGUAAUUCUUUUGAAUCACUUUCUUCUGUAAUCACUC
This 3553-nucleotide long non-coding RNA is filed under the name Zea mays. RNAcentral describes it as "long non-coding RNA (ZMAY_LNC003239)". The record is from RNAcentral. Lineage: Eukaryota; Viridiplantae; Streptophyta; Magnoliopsida; Poales; Poaceae.